This 84-nucleotide microRNA precursor is filed under the name Bombyx mori (domestic silkworm). Its description in RNAcentral is "mir-2807 microRNA precursor family". It matches the Rfam family "mir-2807 microRNA precursor family". Lineage: Eukaryota; Metazoa; Arthropoda; Insecta; Lepidoptera; Bombycidae. The record is from Rfam by way of RNAcentral.
UUAGCUCAUAUUUGUAUGGAAUGGGAAAGUUUGCGUACGUUUGCCGCUAGGGGCGCUGUUCCAACUGCAUACAAAAUUGAGUUA